AUUAUCAGUAAAUAAUAUAUAUUUAUUAUAUAAUAUAAGAAAAAUAUACCCAUCUGUAUACAAAUAUUCUUGUUAUCCUAAUUUAUAAAUCACAAUCCCAAAUCUACAAUAUUUCUCAAGAAAAUAAAAACUUUCCAAAAAUAACAGUUUUUAAGGAAAUUAUUUAAAAAUACAAAAUAUUGAUGAAAAAUUCUUAAAGAAUAUUCAUCUAUCCACAAAUAUUCUUGUUAUCCUAUUUUCUAACUCACAAACUCAAAUUUACAAUAUUUAUCAAAAAGAUGAAAACUUUCCAAAAAUAACAGUUUUUAAGGAAAGUUAAUUAAAAAUACAACCUAUUGAUGAAAAAUUCAUAAAUAAUACUCAUCUAUCCACAAAUAUUCUUGUUAUCCUAUUUUCUAACUCACAAACUCAAAUUUACAAUAUUUAUCAAAAAGAUGAAAACUUUCCAAAAAUAACAGUUUUUAAGGAAAGUUAAUUAAAAAUACAACCUAUUGAUGAAAAAAAUACUCAUCUAUCCAAACUAUCCAAAAAUAUUCCUGUUAUCCUAAUUUAUAAAUCACAAUCCCAAAUGUACAAUAUUUUUCAAGAAAAUGAAAACUUAAAUAAAUUAUUUAAAAAUACAAAAUAUUGAUGAAAAAUUCUUAAAGAAUACUCAUCUAUCCAAAAAUAUUCCUGUUAUCCUAAUUUAUAAAUCACAAUCCCAAAUGUACAAUAUUUUUCAAGAAAAUGAAAACUUAAAUAAAUUAUUUAAAAAUACAAAAUAUUGAUGAAAAAUUCUUAAAGAAUACUAAUCUAUCCACAAAUAUUAUUGGUAUCCUAAUUUAUUACUCACAAACUCAAAUCAACAAUAUUUCUCAAGAAAAGGAAAACUUUUCAAAAAUAACAGUUUUUAAGUAAAUUAUUUUAAAAUACAACCUAUUGAUGAAAAAAUCAUAAAUAAUACUCAUCUAUCCACAAAUAUUCUUGUUAUCUUAAUUUAAAAAUCACAAACCCAAAUCUACAAUAUUUCUCAAAAAAAAAAUGAAAACUUUCCAAAAAUAGCAGUUUUGAUUAAAAUUAUUUAAAUAUAUACAACCUAUUGAUGAAAAAUUCUUAAAGAAUACUCAUCUAUCCACAAAUAUUCUUGUUAUCUUAAUUUAUAAAUCAUAAUCCUAAAUCUACAACAUUUCUCAAGAAAAUGAAAACUUUCCAAAAAUAGCAGUGUUUAAGUAAAUUAUUUUAAAAUACAACCUAUUGAUGAAAAAUUCUUAAAGAAUACUCAUCUAUCCACAAAUAUUCUUGUUAUCUUAAUUUAUAAAUCAUAAUCCUAAAUCUACAACAUUUCUCAAGAAAAUGAAAACUUUCCAAAAAUAGCAGUGUUUAAGUAAAUUAUUUUAAAAUACAACCUAUUGAUGAAAAAUUCUUAAAGAAUACUCAUCUAUCCACAAAUAUUCUUGUUAUCUUAAUUUAUAAAUCAUAAUCCUAAAUCUACAACAUUUCUCAAGAAAAUGAAAACUUUCCAAAAAUAGCAGUGUUUAAGUAAAUUAUUUUAAAAUACAACCUAUUGAUGAAAAAUUCUUAAAGAAUACUCAUCUAUCCACAAAUAUUCUUGUUAUCUUAAUUUAUAAAUCAUAAUCCUAAAUCUACAACAUUUCUCAAGAAAAUGAAAACUUUCCAAAAAUAGCAGUGUUUAAGUAAAUUAUUUUAAAAUACAACCUAUUGAUGAAAAAUUCUUAAAGAAUACUCAUCUAUCCACAAAUAUUCUUGUUAUCUUAAUUUAUAAAUCAUAAUCCUAAAUCUACAACAUUUCUCAAGAAAAUGAAAACUUUCCAAAAAUAGCAGUGUUUAAGUAAAUUAUUUUAAAAUACAACCUAUUGAUGAAAAAUUCUUAAAGAAUACUCAUCUAUCCACAAAUAUUCUUGUUAUCUUAAUUUAUAAAUCAUAAUCCUAAAUCUACAACAUUUCUCAAGAAAAUGAAAACUUUCCAAAAAUAGCAAUUUUUAAGAAAAUUAUUUAAAAAUACAACAUAUUGAUGUACAAUAUUUCUCAAGAAAAUGAAAACUUUCCAAAAAUAGCAGUGUUUAAGUAAAUUAUUUUAAAAUACAACCUAUUGAUGAAAAAUUCUUAAAGAAUAUUCAUCUGUCCACAAAUAUUCUUGGUAUGCUAAUUUCUUACUCACAAACUCAAAUCAACAAUAUUUCUCAAGAAAAUGAAAACUUUCCAAAAAUAGCAGUGUUUAAGUAAAUUAUUUUAAAAUACAACCUAUUGAUGAAAAAUUCAUAAAUAAUACUCAUCUAUCCAUAAAAUUUUAUUUUAUCCUACUUUAUAAAUCAAAUAGCCAAAUCUACAAUAUUUCUCAAGAAAAUGAAAACUUUCCAAAAAUAGCAGUGUUUAAGUAAAUUAUUUUAAAAUACAACCUAUUGAUGAAAAAUUCUUAAAGAAUACUCAUCUAUCCAUAAAAUUUUAUUUUAUCCUACUUUAUAAAUCAAAUAGCCAAAUCUACAAUAUUUCUCAAGAAAAUGAAAACUUUCCAAAAAUAACACUUUUUAAGAAAGUUAUUUAAAAAUACAAUAUAUUGAUGAAAAAUUCGUAAAUAAUACUCAUAUAUCCAAAACUAUUCUUGUUAUCCUAAUUUAUAAAUUACAUACUCAAAUCUACAAUAUUUCUCAAAAAAUUGAAAACUUUCCAAAAAUAGCAGUUUUUAAGAAAAUUAUUUAUAUAUACAACCUAUUGAUAUAAAAUUCUUAAAGAAUACUCAUCUAUCCACAAUUAUUUUUUUAUCGUAAUUUAUAAUUCACAAAAAUAAAUCUACAAUAUUUCUCAAAAAAAUGAAAACUUUCCAAAAAUAGCAAUUUUUAAGAAAAUUAUUUAUAUAUACAACCUAUUGAUAUAAAAUUCUUAAAGAAUAC
Molecule: long non-coding RNA, 2888 nt
Filed under: Brassica napus (rape)
Lineage: Eukaryota; Viridiplantae; Streptophyta; Magnoliopsida; Brassicales; Brassicaceae
Description: long non-coding RNA (BNAP_LNC026649)
Source: RNAcentral